Molecule: long non-coding RNA, 848 nt
Filed under: Coffea arabica (coffee)
Lineage: Eukaryota; Viridiplantae; Streptophyta; Magnoliopsida; Gentianales; Rubiaceae
Description: long non-coding RNA (CARA_LNC000848)
Source: RNAcentral
UGUACACACUUGUAAUAUCUAGAAAAGGCUCCACCUAUUCUGACCAAUUAUCAGUGAAAUGGUAUCACAAAUUAUUCAUGCAAAAAGGGUAACUGCAAGUCUGCAACAUCGUUAAUCUAACCUAUUUCAUCCUCUGAACUAUGUUCUCUACCAAGAAAACAAGUAAAAGCCACGUACAAUCCAGAAAAAUAACAACAAUGUCAGCCAAAAAAAAUUCGCUAUAUAGCAGGAGCAAUUUUGGUCCAAAUAACGUGCAUGAGAAAAAUCCCACCCUUUUAAAAAGCAUGUAUUACCUUCAUCAGCCAAAAAUUGAAAAAAUAAAUGCAUUACCUUGACCAGCCAAAAACUCAAACAUGAAAAGUAUAGACAGAAUUUGGAGGGAAAGAGAAAAAGUACAAUGAAAACCGUACUCACCUAUCGAAACCAGGAUCGCAGCCUUGAGAACAGAAAGUGGACGAUAAAUAUACCAAGUCUUGUUUGAACCUAAAACCUAAUUUGAGAAUAUCAUGGGAUACAAAUGCGUUGCUCAAUAAUUCGUAGAUUGACGGAAGAGGAAGUACGGAUAGGUCGAGAAGGAAGACCGGCGACUCGUUGGAGUCCGGGAAUAGUCGGCAUGCGAUUUGGAGGAGAGAGACCGUGGGAAAGGUGGAUUGGCGGCUGCGGUGGGGCUUCCAUUCGGCGUCGAUUCCGACGACAGCGGAGUGAGUCAGACACCAACUCAAGGUGGGUGAACUCGGGGCGAAUCGGUACAAGAGACCCAGUAAAUACUGCUACUGUAAGUUUCGGCUUUUCGCCCGUGGAUUCCAUGAUGACGGAUCUUCCAAAGCAGACUGGACAGUAAUACUGUA